GGCUGGGUGUGAAAUGGGAGCCCGGCUCUGCCACCAGCCUCUGCCACUGCCCCUUUGCUGGGCGGGGCUGGGGCAGGGGCAGCCAGCCUGCCAAAAACAAACCCCUGUGGGGGGAGCAAAGGUGGGGCUGCAGAACACCAGCUGCUUUGGGCUGCAGGCCAGGAAAGGCUUGGGCUGCCUUGGCUUAGGAGCCUUUCUUUGGGCCAAUGCAGCAGGGCAGGGAGAAGGCCUGGGUUUUCCUUAGCUGGAGGAGGUGGGGUUUUUCUUUGGCCUGGAGGGGUUGGGCCUUCCUCAGAACCCUGACAGAAUGUUAACAUUUUACCUUUUUGUCUUGUUUCCACUUUUUGUUUGUAAUCUCUUGUCAUGAAUUUGUUGUUUGUUUUCCAGGGAAGAGUUGGAGCUGGUGCCCAGUCUGGAUUGGGAAGGGCUGGGACCAUCCCUGGAGAGGAUCUGACGUCCCCUCUGAGAAGGCUGAGGACAUCCUUUGGGACACGCUCUUCUUCUGGCAGCAGAUCUUGUGAGACAGGACACCUCUGCCUGAUCUCCCACAGAUCUGAGGGAUCUCUGGAUCUUCACGCCAACACCAGGACUUUGCUGGAGAAGAGCACAGAUCCCCAGCCCAGUCUGGGACACAGAACCCUCUGAAAUGGCAGAAGGAUUGUGGUGUGAAUGCAGCACCCUCAGAGCCCUUGGUGUGAGCCCGGAAAGGAAAAUCAAGGGAAAUGGUUAAAGCCUUGUUGUUCAAUGUGGAGCACAGGAGAACUUUGUUCUCAUUGUCUCCCCGAUAAGGAGGAGGACUCAGAUCUUCUGGUUGGCCCCACGGGCAGGUUGAGUGGGGGAACAGAAAAUCAAGAUGCAGAAACCAAUCUUGCAGGGGAACUGGCAUGUGAAGAGGCAGAUUUAGCAUGUCCAGAAGAAAAGGGAGAGAGAAUGUGUCAGAGAGAGAGCAGAGAGCUUCAGUGCAGCUGCAGGAAGAACUAGAGCUGAACAAGGAGGGGUGGGAGUGGCCCCCCUGUGUGAUAGAACCCAGACUAAAUGGCAAAAGCCUUCAAAAUGAUGAUUCAAACCCAGGAUCUGGGCUAGAAGGAUCCUAUGUUAGAAGUGUUGUUUGGUAGUAGGGAGAAAGCAAUGGUUGUUAAAAUCAGUCAGAGGUUUUUGGAAGAGCAGAUUUUGGUGGGGAAUAUACAGAGUACAUUGGACAUUCCCUUUCCCACUGCGGAUCCUGAAUGGGAUCCUAACAUCCCUAUUUUUAGAGAAAGGUUCAAUAGAUACCUGCAGUGGAUGUUGUCUGCAAUGAAACAUGCCAGGCCAAAGGCAAUGAACACGUCAAAAUUCUCUGCAAUGAAGCAGGAUCACAGGGAAUAGCCUACUGAAUUUUUAAAUCAUCUGGAAGAAACAGCACAAAAAUAUACUAAUAUCCAUCCUGAAACACGGGGGGAAGGACUCAACUGGCCCCCAUAUUUGUGGGGCAGUCCUCAGAUGUGGUUAGGAGGGAAUGACAAAAAGCUGAGGGACAAGAUCAAUCUAAUUUAGGGACAUUGUUGGAGGUUGGGAGAAUCAGCAGGAAUCAGCUAAGCAGGAA
This is a long non-coding RNA of Pseudopipra pipra, 1582 nucleotides long. RefSeq lists it as uncharacterized. Lineage: Eukaryota; Metazoa; Chordata; Aves; Passeriformes; Pipridae. The record is from RefSeq and is a predicted model, not a curated record. The transcript has 3 exons.